This 1796-nucleotide long non-coding RNA is filed under the name Bemisia tabaci. RNAcentral describes it as "lncRNA ENSSWEETPG009693". The record is from RNAcentral. Lineage: Eukaryota; Metazoa; Arthropoda; Insecta; Hemiptera; Aleyrodidae.
CUGGACUAUUUGGAAUGAUACUCAUGGAGUAUCAUUCUGAGAAUUAUGGACUUUAUUUAUGUGAGCUGUAAAUAAAUAAAAAAAAAGUAUGGGCAUCCUCUUUCAUAUUUUGAACUUAUUUAUAUAAGUAGUGGUUAUAGUGGCUUUCUGAUGUGCGCUUUCAACUCUUUUUCCAUCAUUUUUUUCUGUCAUAAAUUCAUUUCUGUCAAAAUAAUUAUCAAAAGUGACCUUACUUGUUCAACAGAAGGAAGAGAACUACAAAGAAGGCUCGAUGCAAGAGCCAAAGAAUGGAAUUGGAUGCCCGUGAGACAAAAUGAAAAAGAAGAAGUUGAAGAAAUUAGGAACAAGAUAUUCGCCUCUCUGCGACAGUAAAGAUCCAAAUGUAGAGUUUGCCAAGUUAUUAAAAGCUAGAGAAGACCUGUACAAACCAAAACUUCUAAUCGACAUGAAUUCAGAAAAAUCAAGAAAGAGAGAAGAAAAGGAGAGAGAAAAGAGAGAUAGAGAGGAUCAAGAUAUUGAGAUUAUAUACAGAGAAGCCGAGAAAUUGAAGGAAAUGGAAGAGGCAGAAGAAUCCAAACGACGCGCUGCAGCAAUGGCAGAGCAGCUGCAGAUGGCUGAAAAAGAAAGGAUGUAUGCAGAAGAGCACCAUCCACCAUCGCCUCCUAGCCCAUCUCCGCCACCUCCAGACGAUUCUUACUCCCCUCCACCUCCGCCAGAGGAAGACUCUCAAUUCAACUCCUUCUAUCAAGAUACAACAGACAGCAAAUCAGGUAAUUCAUGUCUUUGUUUGUAUACCUCUGUUGUAUCUGUGAUUUGUGUAAAGACCACUAUUUUUCUUAGGGAAAACGUUUGUUUGAUCUGUAGGAACAGUGGGAAAAAUCGGAUGGAAAAGGACAAAUAGCUUGGAGAUCAGAGGAGCUUGUAUAUGCGCGAAGUGAGCAAGAGACAAGAGAGAAGUGUAACCUAAAAAAGUAUCAACAGGUAAGUCAGCAAUCACGUAACUCGGUUUACGACAUCGCAGACUUCCUGUCGUACUUUAUUUUUUAAACGGAAAACUACUCAAAGACAAUCUUUAAAACUGCCCUGAUUUUCUUCUCUGUGCGAAGAAAAUUCUGCAUAAACUUCAAAGAAUGAUGUCAAUUUGUUUCUCUUUAAAAAAAACAUAUAGGCGGAGAUUUUCAGACACCGCAAACAAGAUAUGUGAUUGCGACUUAUGCCGACGAUACAUGCAAUGAAUACAAGCGAAAUUGUAGAGCAUCUGUCAUAAGUCAUGAUCGUGUUCAUUUUUCCAGUGUGGGGUGCUGACCUAAGUAUAAAAUUUCUGUGAAUAUUUGUAAAUGAGUAAAGAUAAAACACAGAAGGUAAUUAUAAGAAAAAUGAUGAUUGACUUUGUUUUACAAAACUAAAACAGGAGUGAAGGUUUACCAUACUUCAAUCUAGUAUUAUACUUUUUGACAUCAGUCAUCGAUACUCCUCUUCAUUCUGUUUAGUUUCUGUUGCCAGUUUUGGUGAAUUUACCAUAAAUAUACUGAUUUUUUUUAAUUUGUAUUUUAACUGUCUGGCGAAUUUUCCCCUUUGUCUACGUUUUAUUCUAUUGUUUUAAAGGAUUGAAGGAGUACUCCUCACUGUUCCUGCCUCUGGUGAUAAAAAGAAGAAGAAACUAGACGUAAGAAGUUUUCAAUAAUGAUGAUGAUGACCUCACAUGUUGCAGCUAAGAAAAGGAAACUGGUACCAUAGGUAAGCAAAUAAAUACAGUGAAACCUUGUUAGGUUGUUUUCAAUCAAGGUGGAGAAAUU